UUCGCAAUGCCCGAAAGGGUGACGAAGCGACGCCGCGUGUGGGAAGAAGGCCUUCGGGCUGUAAACCACUGUCGGGAGUUAAGAAAUGCAAGGAUAUUAAUAGUGUCUUUGUUUGACUAAGGCUCCGGAGGAAGCCACGGCUAACUCUGUGCCAGCAGCCGCGGUAAUACAGAGGCGGCAAGCGUUGUUCGGAAUUAUUGGGCGUAAAGAGCACGUAGGCGGCUAUGUAAGUCGGUUGUGAAAGCCUUCCGCUCAACGGAAGAACAGCAUCCGAUACUACAUGGCUUGAGUGCGGGAGGGGAGAGUGGAACUUCUGGUGGAGCGGUGAAAUGCGUAGAUAUCAGAAGGAACGCCGGCGGCGAAAGCGGCUCUCUGGCCCAUAACUGACGCUGAGUGUGCGAAAGCUAGGGGAGCAAACGGGAUUAGAUACCCCGGUAGUCCUAGCCGUAAACGAUGGGCACUAAGUAGAGGGGUUUU
Molecule: ribosomal RNA, 477 nt
Filed under: uncultured bacterium
Lineage: Bacteria
Description: bacterial SSU rRNA
Rfam family: Bacterial small subunit ribosomal RNA
Source: RNAcentral